UUAGAACAACACAGUGUUUGCUGAACAUU
RNAcentral lists this non-coding RNA (29 nucleotides) under Rattus norvegicus (Norway rat). The record is from RNAcentral. Lineage: Eukaryota; Metazoa; Chordata; Mammalia; Rodentia; Muridae.